RNAcentral lists this ribosomal RNA (513 nucleotides) under uncultured bacterium. RNAcentral describes it as "partial 16S ribosomal RNA". It matches the Rfam family "Bacterial small subunit ribosomal RNA", at positions 29 to 523 of the family's 1533-position model. The record is from RNAcentral.
AACAAACGCUGGCGGCAUGCCUAAUACAUGCAAGUCGAGCGAACAGAUGAAGUGCUUGCACUUCUGACGUUAGCGGCGAACGGGUGAGUAACACGUAAGGAAUCUACCUAUAAGCGGGGGAUAACAUUCGGAAACGGGUGCUAAUACCGCAUAAUAUCUUCUUCCGCAUGGAAGAAGAUUGAAAGACGGCUCUGCUGUCACUUAUAGAUGACCUUGCGGUGCAUUAGUUAGUUGGUGGGGUAACGGCCUACCAAGACGAUGAUGCAUAGCCGACCUGAGAGGGUGAUCGGCCACAUUGGGACUGAGACACGGCCCAAACUCCUACGGGAGGCAGCAGUAGGGAAUCUUCCGCAAUGGGCGAAAGCCUGACGGAGCAAUGCCGCGUGAGUGAAGAAGGCCUUCGGGUCGUAAAACUCUGUUAUAAGAGAAGAACAAAUUGUAGAGUAACUGCUACAGUCUUGACGGUAUCUUAUCAGAAAGCCACGGCUAACUACGUGCCAGCCGCCGCGGUAA